This is a long non-coding RNA of Cyprinus carpio carpio, 1009 nucleotides long. The record is from Ensembl. NCBI's taxonomy places the organism in Eukaryota, Metazoa, Chordata, Actinopteri, Cypriniformes, Cyprinidae.
UUAAUUUAGCUCCUGACUUUUAAUUGCUAAAACAGUUUUGUUAUGUGCUACAGUACCAAAUACAACCUUGACAACAUAAUACUCUUGUGUAUUUAACAGCGGCUAUUAGGGGGAUAUACUGUAAAGUUAGAGAUAUCAUGCACAAAUACCUUUGCACAAAACAUUUUUAUGUGAGCAAAAAACAAAAAUAGUAAUUAAAAAUGUCCUUAAUAUGUUAAACAGUCAUAGCCCACUUUCAAAACUCCCAAAGCAACCGUUUGCACCCCGGACACCAAAAUCUGUGACCGCCCAUAAAAGAUAUAACCAAAUCAGCAAUGUUGUACAUUAGCAGCCUUAGUGUAAUUAAAUUGCACAUUCUGAGUAAUACUGUUUUGUGCAAAAGCCUGUAAUGAAAGUACAGUUUUACUGCAAUUUUAAUUAGCAGUGUUUGAUAAGGCAAACAUCACUAUUACUUAGAGUCACAGUUGGUUAUUAUUAUUUUAUUUAUAUAUAUAUGCAUGAAUUCAUCUCUCCAAGCAUCCAUCCUUGAAAAUGGAUACAUCAUCCAUCAACCACCCGCAAAACCCUAGCUUUCUCCUAGCAGCUGGAGAGCAACACCCUGACAAGUACCAAUAACACCCUAGAAUUCACCUAGCAACUGCAUUACAAUACCCUAAAAACUACCAGCAACACCUUAACAUCCAUCUAGCAACUGCAUAGCAACACAUCAGCAAAAACCCUCAACAUCCUAGCAAUCACCUUGCAACCGCAUAGCAACACCCUAGCAACCACCCACCCAAAACAUUUGCAACUGUAUAUAAACACUGGGUGAAUUCCAAAUGGCUUUUCUAUGGAUGUUCCAAAUGAAAGUGAACAAAUGCAUAAAAAAUGAAGCCUAUUUUAAAAUGUUACAUUAUUUUCAUGUCAAUGAAUCAUACAGUAUAACCAUAACAGAUUUAGUUAUGAUUUUUUUUUUUUUGUAAUUAUUGCCGCUUAUGAUUCUCUUUAUUAUACUAGUGAGUGACUUUAC